UGAAUUUAAAACAGCAUCCUUGGUGUCCACCCAAAUCCACAGAACGUCACAGCUCCAUGGGCUUGAUUUUCUUGGCAGUGAUACUGCUUCUGGCUCUUCUGGCAGGUCUUGCAUUUUGGUUUUGGAAGUGCUGGACACACUGUGAGCCUCCUCUCCACGCUUCUCCCUUUGGAAUGAGGACCCAACAGCUCAGGGGCUCAUGACAUACCUGAGCACAACAUGGCAAUGACAUCCUUUCAACUCUCCUUAUAAAUCUUUUGAUAAUGUUUGUUUCUGCUUAAUGAUCAGUUGUCAGUGUAAGCUAAAUGUAAUUUUGCAGAGUUUGUUGUUUUGACCUGGGUUCUGGAACUUUCACAUUCAAUUUUAACUCUGAAUGGAAUGGAGUCCUAGCAACCUCCACAUGUUCAAAUAUUAAUGGAUCAUCAGGUCCAUUUCAGAUGUCACUUCCUCCUGAGGGCCUUCCUGGAUUUGCAAGUAGAAAGCAGUUUCUCCCUCAUCUGAACUCCCACUACAUUUCCACUGUACUGUGCUACUCUGCUCCUCACUUCCUAUCUUUCACUGUAGUUAAUUAGGUCCCUUUUCCCCUUCUAGUGUUUCAGCUCUUUGAGAGCAAAGUAUGUCUUUCAAAUAUAUGUAUCCUUGGUAAUAACAUGUUUCCAAUAAAAAUCUGUGUGGAAUUUA
Galeopterus variegatus (Sunda flying lemur) is the source of this 681-nucleotide long non-coding RNA. RefSeq lists it as uncharacterized. The transcript is spliced from 2 exons. Lineage: Eukaryota; Metazoa; Chordata; Mammalia; Dermoptera; Cynocephalidae. The record is from RefSeq and is a predicted model, not a curated record.